This 434-nucleotide ribosomal RNA is filed under the name uncultured Pseudobutyrivibrio sp. RNAcentral describes it as "partial 16S ribosomal RNA". It matches the Rfam family "Bacterial small subunit ribosomal RNA", at positions 341 to 792 of the family's 1533-position model. Lineage: Bacteria; Bacillati; Bacillota; Clostridia; Lachnospirales; Lachnospiraceae. The record is from RNAcentral.
ACGGAAGGCAGCAGUGGGGAAUAUUGCACAAUGGGCGAAAGCCUGAUGCAGCGACGCCGCGUGAGCGAAGAAGUAUUUCGGUAUGUAAAGCUCUAUCAGCAGGGAAGAUAAUGACGGUACCUGACUAAGAAGCACCGGCUAAAUACGUGCCAGCAGCCGCGGUAAUACGUAUGGUGCAAGCGUUAUCCGGAUUUACUGGGUGUAAAGGGAGCGUAGGCGGUUUUACAAGUCUGAUGUGAAAGCCCGGGGCUCAACUCCGGUAUUGCAUUGGAAACUGUAGAACUAGAGUGUCGGAGGGGUAAGUGGAAUUCCUAGUGUAGCGGUGAAGUGCGUAGAUAUUAGGAGGAACACCAGUGGCGAAGGCGGCUUACUGGACGAUUACUGACGCUGAGGCUCGAAAGCGUGGGGAGCAAACAGGAUUAGAUACCCUGGUA